Molecule: long non-coding RNA, 191 nt
Organism: Ananas comosus (pineapple)
Lineage: Eukaryota; Viridiplantae; Streptophyta; Magnoliopsida; Poales; Bromeliaceae
Exons: 3
Source: RefSeq, a predicted model, not a curated record
GUUGGUUUCGGGACUGCGAGAAGAAUCCACGAAGUCCUUACUUGUGGAUUUUGGUGAAGAUCUUAAGGGGCUUUGUUGCUGGUUUGAAGAGGUUUCCAGCAGUGUUGCUUGAGGAUCCGAGACCCUAUUGCUGCCAGGAAUUGCAUUAGAGAGCCACAGGUUUCGGCUGCUGCGCCUUCCGCGGAUCAGGA